UACAGAGGGUGCGAGCGUUGUCCGGAAUCACUGGGCGUAAAGGGCGCGUAGGUGGUGGCUUAAGCGUGCGGUGAAAGCUCGGAGCUCAACUCCGAGUCGGCCGUGCGAACUGGGCUCACUGGAGCAUAGUAGAGGCAGGUGGAAUUCCGGGUGUAGCGGUGGAAUGCGUAGAGAUCCGGAAGAACACCGGUGGCGAAGGCGGCCUGCUGGGCUAUGGCUGACACUGAGGCGCGACAGCGUGGGGAGCAAAAGGG
This 254-nucleotide ribosomal RNA is filed under the name uncultured bacterium. Its description in RNAcentral is "partial 16S ribosomal RNA". It matches the Rfam family "Bacterial small subunit ribosomal RNA", at positions 524 to 776 of the family's 1533-position model. The record is from RNAcentral.